This 279-nucleotide ribosomal RNA is filed under the name uncultured bacterium. Its description in RNAcentral is "partial 16S ribosomal RNA". It matches the Rfam family "Bacterial small subunit ribosomal RNA", at positions 81 to 354 of the family's 1533-position model. The record is from RNAcentral.
CNCCUUUGAAGUUAGCGGCGGACGGGUGAGUAACACGUGGGUAACCUACCUAUAAGACUGGGAUAACUUCGGGAAACCGGAGCUAAUACCGGAUAACAUUUAGAACCGCAUGGUUCUAAAGUGAAAGAUGGUUUUGCUAUCACUUAUAGAUGGACCCGCGCCGUAUUAGCUAGUUGGUAAGGUAACGGCUUACCAAGGCGACGAUACGUAGCCGACCUGAGAGGGUGAUCGGCCACACUGGAACUGAGACACGGUCCAGACUCCUACGGGAGGCAGCAG